UGCCGGGUCGUCUAAAGGUAGGACAUUGGUUUCUGGCACCAAGAAUCGGGGUUCGAAUCCCUGCCCGGCAACCA
Molecule: transfer RNA, 74 nt
Filed under: candidate division WS6 bacterium OLB20
Lineage: Bacteria
Description: tRNA-Gln
Rfam family: tRNA
About the family: Transfer RNA (tRNA) molecules are approximately 80 nucleotides in length. Their secondary structure includes four short double-helical elements and three loops (D, anti-codon, and T loops). Further hydrogen bonds mediate the characteristic L-shaped molecular structure. tRNAs have two regions of fundamental functional importance: the anti-codon, which is responsible for specific mRNA codon recognition, and the 3' end, to which the tRNAs corresponding amino acid is attached (by aminoacyl-tRNA synthetases). tRNAs cope with the degeneracy of the genetic code in two manners: having more than one tRNA (with a specific anti-codon) for a particular amino acid; and 'wobble' base-pairing, i.e. permitting non-standard base-pairing at the 3rd anti-codon position.
Source: RNAcentral